AAUGCUUUUAUCAAGGAUAUGCCGCAGAGGUUCCAAAAUCAGUUGUGACACUUAACACCUGUUCUGGACUCAGGGGAUUAUUAAUGCUGCAGAACGUCAGUUAUGGAAUCGAGCCACUGGAAUCUGCAGCUGCAUAUGAGCAUAUGCUUUAUCAAACAAAGAAUGAUAAAAUUGAUUUUUCCCCUGUACAAGAAAAUUAUCCUACGCCCCAAGGUAGAUCGGUCCUACAGGAUUCUUGUGAAAUCGGAAACUGACAGAUCAUUGAAGCCUGUUUUCCUUGGGGAGUCUAUGAAAUGGGG
Molecule: long non-coding RNA, 299 nt
Organism: Ailuropoda melanoleuca (giant panda)
Lineage: Eukaryota; Metazoa; Chordata; Mammalia; Carnivora; Ursidae
Exons: 3
Source: RefSeq, a predicted model, not a curated record